CUUUGGUAAAUUAAAACUUUUAUACAUUAACAUCGUAAUUAAACCCGAUAAUUUUAAAUUAGGGUUUUCUAUAGAAAAUUAGGGUUUUCUAAUUAGGGUUUCUUAACGCCAUCAAUUAGGGUUUCUAAUUGACCAUUAGGGUUCUCUAAUUAUCUGUGUAUGUUCUAACACAGUCAUUACGAUCUCUAACUUCAACCGAUUAGGGUUGUAAUAAUUAGGGUUUGUCCUAAUUAUCGACAUACAACAGUAAUUAGGGUUUUCUUCUAAUUAUCGACAUCUUAUACACAGUAACCUUCAUAUACACAGUCACUACUCAGUCAUAUCUCAUAACUGAGUUAAAUAAUUAGGGUUUCUCAGCACGGUAAUAUGCUAUGACCUAAUUGACCGUCAUUGCACAAUAUUAUC
Molecule: long non-coding RNA, 405 nt
Filed under: Panax ginseng (ginseng)
Lineage: Eukaryota; Viridiplantae; Streptophyta; Magnoliopsida; Apiales; Araliaceae
Description: long non-coding RNA (PGIN_LNC001408)
Source: RNAcentral